AUCGCUUCUCGGCCUUUGGCUAAGAUCAAGUGUAGUAUCUGUUCUUAUCAGUUUAAAGAGAAAGUAGUGACUGUUAAUAAGUUAGGAUAGACACGUCUUUAUGUUAAUGAAAUAAUAUUUUAUUAAUUUAUUUUUAUAUUCCAAUCCCAGUUCCCCCUCCCUCC
Molecule: small nuclear RNA, 164 nt
Gene: U2
Rfam family: U2 spliceosomal RNA
About the family: U2 is a small nuclear RNA (snRNA) component of the spliceosome (involved in pre-mRNA splicing). Complementary binding between U2 snRNA (in an area lying towards the 5' end but 3' to hairpin I) and the branchpoint sequence (BPS) of the intron results the bulging out of an unpaired adenosine, on the BPS, which initiates a nucleophilic attack at the intronic 5' splice site, thus starting the first of two transesterification reactions that mediate splicing.
Source: Ensembl